This 522-nucleotide ribosomal RNA is filed under the name Burkholderia sp. JS165. RNAcentral's name for it is "bacterial SSU rRNA". It matches the Rfam family "Bacterial small subunit ribosomal RNA", at positions 1 to 522 of the family's 1533-position model. Lineage: Bacteria; Pseudomonadati; Pseudomonadota; Betaproteobacteria; Burkholderiales; Burkholderiaceae. The record is from RNAcentral.
UGGAGAGUUUGAUCCUGGCUCAGAUUGAACGCUGGCGGCAUGCCUUACACAUGCAAGUCGAACGGCAGCGCGGGRGCAAYCCUGGYGGCGAGUGGCGAACGGGUGAGUAAUACAUCGGAACGUGUCCUGGAGUGGGGGAUAGCCCGGCGAAAGCCGGAUUAAUACCGCAUACGAUCUCDGGAUGAAAGCGGGGGACCGAAAGGCCUCGCGCUCAAGGGGCGGCCGAUGGCAGAUUAGCUAGUUGGUGGGGUAAAGGCCUACCAAGGCGACGAUCUGUAGCUGGUCUGAGAGGACGACCAGCCACACUGGGACUGAGACACGGCCCAGACUCCUACGGGAGGCAGCAGUGGGGAAUUUUGGACAAUGGGGGCAACCCUGAUCCAGCAAUGCCGCGUGUGUGAAGAAGGCCUUCGGGUUGUAAAGCACUUUUGUCCGGAAAGAAAACCUCCGUCCUAAUACGGUGGGGGGAUGACGGUACCGGAAGAAUAAGCACCGGCUAACUACGUGCCAGCAGCCGCGGUA